GUUUGAUCCUGGCUCAGGAUGAACGCUAGCGGCAGGCUUAAUACAUGCAAGUCGAACGGGAUUCGGGGUAGCAAUACUUUGAUGAGAGUGGCGCACGGGUGCGUAACGCGUAUGCAACCUACCUUUAACAGGGGAAUAGCCCCGAGAAAUCGGGAUUAAUACUCCGUAACAUUGCGGUGUGGCAUCACACUGCAAUUAAAGAUUUAUCGGUUAAAGAUGGGCAUGCGUGACAUUAGCUAGUUGGUGAGGUAACGGCUCACCAAGGCAACGAUGUCUAGGGGUCCUGAGAGGGUUAUCCCCCACACUGGUACUGAGACACGGACCAGACUCCUACGGGAGGCAGCAGUAAGGAAUAUUGGUCAAUGGGCGCAAGCCUGAACCAGCCAUGCCGCGUGCAGGAAGACGGCCCUAUGGGUUGUAAACUGCUUUUAUCAGGGAAUAAACCCCCGCUCGUGAGCGGGGCUGAAGGUACCUGAAGAAUAAGCAUCGGCUAACUCCGUGCCAGCAGCCGCGGUAAUACGGAGGAUGCAAGCGUUAUCCGGAUUCAUUGGGUUUAAAGGGUGCGCAGGCGGAUUGGUAAGUCAGGGGUGAAAUCCCACAGCUCAACUGUGGAACUGCCUUUGAUACUGUCAGUCUAGAGUAUAGUUGAAGUUGGCGGAAUGUGUCAUGUAGCGGUGAAAUGCUUAGAUAUGACACAGAACACCGAUCGCGAAGGCAGCUAGCUAAGCUAUAACUGACGCUCAUGCACGAAAGCGUGGGGAUCAAACAGGAUUAGAUACCCUGGUAGUCCACGCUGUAAACGAUGAUUACUCGAUGUUGGCGAUACACAGUCAGCGUCUGAGCGAAAGCAAUAAGUAAUCCACCUGGGGAGUACGAUCGCAAGAUUGAAACUCAAAGGAAUUGACGGGGGCCCGCACAAGCGGAGGAGCAUGUGGCUUAAUUCGAUGA
RNAcentral lists this ribosomal RNA (948 nucleotides) under uncultured Lentimicrobium sp. Its description in RNAcentral is "bacterial SSU rRNA". It matches the Rfam family "Bacterial small subunit ribosomal RNA", at positions 11 to 957 of the family's 1533-position model. Lineage: Bacteria; Pseudomonadati; Bacteroidota; Bacteroidia; Bacteroidales; Lentimicrobiaceae. The record is from RNAcentral.